CAGGCUUAACACAUGCAAGUCGAGGGGCAGCAUGGUCUUAGCUUGCUAAGGCCGAUGGCGACCGGCGCACGGGUGAGUAACACGUAUCCAACCUGCCGUCUACUCUUGGACAGCCUUCUGAAAGGAAGAUUAAUACAAGAUGGCAUCAUGAGUCCGCAUGUUCACAUGAUUAAAGGUAUUCCGGUAGACGAUGGGGAUGCGUUCCAUUAGAUAGUAGGCGGGGUAACGGCCCACCUAGUCUUCGAUGGAUAGGGGUUCUGAGAGGAAGGUCCCCCACAUUGGAACUGAGACACGGUCCAAACUCCUACGGGAGGCAGCAGUGAGGAAUAUUGGUCAAUGGGCGCAGGCCUGAACCAGCCAAGUAGCGUGAAGGAUGACUGCCCUAUGGGUUGUAAACUUCUUUUAUAAAGGAAUAAAGUCGGGUAUGGAUACCCGUUUGCAUGUACUUUAUGAAUAAGGAUCGGCUAACUCCGUGCCAGCAGCCGCGGUAAUACGGAGGAUCCGAGCGUUAUCCGGAUUUAUUGGGUUUAAAGGGAGCGUAGGUGGAUGUUUAAGUCAGUUGUGAAAGUUUGCGGCUCAACCGUAAAAUUGCAGUUGAUACUGGAUAUCUUGAGUGCAGUUGAGGCAGGCGGAAUUCGUGGUGUAGCGGUGAAAUGCUUAGAUAUCACGAAGAACUCCGAUUGCGAAGGCAGCCUGCUAAGCUGCAACUGACAUUGAGGCUCGAAAGUGUGGGUAUCAAACAGGAUUAGAUACCCUGGUAGUCCACACGGUAAACGAUGAAUACUCGCUGUUUGCGAUAUACGGCAAGCGGCCAAGCGAAAGCGUUAAGUAUUCCACCUGGGGAGUACGCCGGCAACGGUGAAACUCAAAGGAAUUGACGGGGGCCCGCACAAGCGGAGGAACAUGUGGUUUAAUUCGAUGAUACGCGAGGAACCUUACCCGGGCUUAAAUUGCAGAUGAAUUACGGUGAAAGCCGUAAGCCGCAAGGCAUCUGUGAAGGUGCUGCAUGGUUGUCGUCAGCUCGUGCCGUGAGGUGUCGGCUUAAGUGCCAUAACGAGCGCAACCCUUGUUGUCAGUUACUAACAGGUUCCGCUGAGGACUCUGACAAGACUGCCAUCGUAAGAUGUGAGGAAGGUGGGGAUGACGUCAAAUCAGCACGGCCCUUACGUCCGGGGCUACACACGUGUUACAAUGGGGGGUACAGAGGGCCGCUACCACGCGAGUGGAUGCCAAUCCCAAAAACCUCUCUCAGUUCGGACUGGAGUCUGCAACCCGACUCCACGAAGCUGGAUUCGCUAGUAAUCGCGCAUCAGCCACGGCGCGGUGAAUACGUUCCCGGGCCUUGUACACACCGCCCGUCAAGCCAUGGGAGCCGGGGGUACCUGAAGUGCGUAACCGCGAGGAGCGCCCUAGGGUAAAACUGGUGACUGGGGCUAAGU
This 1439-nucleotide ribosomal RNA is filed under the name uncultured organism. Its description in RNAcentral is "16S ribosomal RNA". It matches the Rfam family "Bacterial small subunit ribosomal RNA". The record is from RNAcentral.